RNAcentral lists this ribosomal RNA (773 nucleotides) under Pediococcus pentosaceus. RNAcentral's name for it is "bacterial SSU rRNA". It matches the Rfam family "Bacterial small subunit ribosomal RNA", at positions 60 to 817 of the family's 1533-position model. The record is from RNAcentral. Lineage: Bacteria; Bacillati; Bacillota; Bacilli; Lactobacillales; Lactobacillaceae.
UGACGUACUUGUACUGAUUGAGAUUUUAACACGAAGUGAGUGGCGAACGGGUGAGUAACACGUGGGUAACCUGCCCAGAAGUAGGGGAUAACACCUGGAAACAGAUGCUAAUACCGUAUAACAGAGAAAACCGCAUGGUUUUCUUUUAAAAGAUGGCUCUGCUAUCACUUCUGGAUGGACCCGCGGCGUAUUAGCUAGUUGGUGAGGUAAAGGCUCACCAAGGCAGUGAUACGUAGCCGACCUGAGAGGGUAAUCGGCCACAUUGGGACUGAGACACGGCCCAGACUCCUACGGGAGGCAGCAGUAGGGAAUCUUCCACAAUGGACGCAAGUCUGAUGGAGCAACGCCGCGUGAGUGAAGAAGGGUUUCGGCUCGUAAAGCUCUGUUGUUAAAGAAGAACGUGGGUAAGAGUAACUGUUUACCCAGUGACGGUAUUUAACCAGAAAGCCACGGCUAACUACGUGCCAGCAGCCGCGGUAAUACGUAGGUGGCAAGCGUUAUCCGGAUUUAUUGGGCGUAAAGCGAGCGCAGGCGGUCUUUUAAGUCUAAUGUGAAAGCCUUCGGCUCAACCGAAGAAGUGCAUUGGAAACUGGGAGACUUGAGUGCAGAAGAGGACAGUGGAACUCCAUGUGUAGCGGUGAAAUGCGUAGAUAUAUGGAAGAACACCAGUGGCGAAGGCGGCUGUCUGGUCUGCAACUGACGCUGAGGCUCGAAAGCAUGGGUAGCGAACAGGAUUAGAUACCCUGGUAGUCCAUGCCGUAACGAUGAUUACU